CAAGUCGAACGCGAAAGCCCCCUUCGGGGGGCAAGUAGAGUGGCGCACGGGUGAGUAACACGUAGGUAAUCUACCUUUGGAUGGGGAAUAACAACCGGAAACGGUUGCUAAUACCGCAUAAUGCAGCGGCACCUAAUGGUGACAGUUGUUAAAGCGGGGGAUCGCAAGACCUCGCGUCUGAAGAGGAGCCUGCGGCGGAUUAGCUAGUUGGUAAGGUAACGGCUUACCAAGGCUAUGAUCCGUAGCCGGCCUGAGAGGGCGGUCGGCCACACUGACACUGACAUACGGGUCAGACUCCUACGGGAGGCAGCAGUCGGGAAUUUUGGGCAAUGGGCGAAAGCCUGACCCAGCAACGCCGCGUGAAGGAUGAAAUCCUUCGGGAUGUAAACUUCGCAAGAACAGGAAGAAUAAGUAAGGGUUAAUAUCUCUUACGAUGACGGUACUGUUUGUAAGCUCCGGCUAACUCCGUGCCAGCAGCCGCGGUAAUACGGGGGGAGCAAGCGUUGUUCGGAUUUACUGGGCGUAAAGGGCGCGUAGGCGGCCACCGCAAGUCGACUGUGAAAUCUCCGGGCUUAACCCGGAAAGGUCAGCCGAUACUGCGGGGCUAGAGUGCAGAAGGGGCAACUGGAAUUCUCGGUGUAGCGGUGAAAUGCGUAGAUAUCGAGAGGAACACCUGCGGCGAAGGCGGGUUGCUGGGCUGACACUGACGCUGAUGCGCGAAAGCUAGGGGAGCGAACGGGAUUAGAUACCCCGGUAGUCCUAGCCUUAAACGAUGAAUGCUUGGUGUCUGGGGUUUUAUAGUCCCCGGGUGCCGUC
Molecule: ribosomal RNA, 816 nt
Filed under: uncultured Actinomycetes bacterium
Lineage: Bacteria; Bacillati; Actinomycetota; Actinomycetes
Description: bacterial SSU rRNA
Rfam family: Bacterial small subunit ribosomal RNA
Source: RNAcentral